Molecule: ribosomal RNA, 372 nt
Filed under: uncultured bacterium
Lineage: Bacteria
Description: bacterial SSU rRNA
Rfam family: Bacterial small subunit ribosomal RNA
Source: RNAcentral
UACGAAGGAUCCAAGCGUUGUCCGGAUUUACUGGGUUUAAAGGGUGCGUAGGCGGACUUUUAAGUCAGUGGUGAAAGCUCGCAGCUUAACUGUGAAAUUGCCAUUGAAACUGAAAGUCUCGAGUGUGGUUGAGGUAACUGGAAUAUAUCAUGUAGCGGUGAAAUGCUUAGAUAUGAUAUAGAACACCAAUUGCGAAGGCAGGUUACUGAGCCACAACUGACGCUGAGGCACGAAAGCGUGGGGAUCAAACAGGAUUAGAUACCCUGGUAGUCCACGCCGUAAACGUUGAAUACUCGAUCUUAGCGAUACACAGUUAGGAUCCAAGCGAAAGCGUUAAGUAUUCCACCUGGGAAGUACGUUCGCAAGAAUGAA